AGAGCUCUAGGGCUUGAGGUAGAAAAAAAUUAUCUCCAGGACUCUUUCCUGCCUGGAAGAACCUUCUUCAGCCACUUUCACAUCCCUUCUGCUUGUCUGCAUCUCAUCCAUUACCUGGGACUCCUCCACUGCCCAGUCCUGAGGCAGUGCUCUGGGUUCUUUUCCAGGAGUACUGCUUUUGGUCAUUAGCUGACUGCUGCUCACUGGAUGGCUAUGUGAAGAGUCUCUUUACACUGCAGGGCUGGUUGGAAAGUCAUGGACCCAUUGAAGGCAGUGUGAACUCACUGUCUUGUGUUUCUGAACAGAAGAGCAAGGCAUAUCUGGCUCUGGUAGAACUGGAGGGGACAGAUGUCUCUCCUUGUUCUACCUGUUUAAAGUUAACAAAGAGUAAUAGUCUGGGAAAGAAACCUGAAAAAAAAAAAAACAAAAGAAAAAGAAAAGAAAGGAAAAGAAGAAAAAAGUGAAGGAGAGGCCAAAAAAGAGCAGCCAGACCUUCUGCCCUUGCUUCAACCAUAUCUGAUCCAUCAUGAUCGUUUCUGUGUGCUGGAGUUCUGAAUGAGGUCUCCAUUGACCAAAGGAGACUGCUGCAAAGAUAAAAAACUGAAGGGCACUUAUCUUAUCCAGUCCCUUCAUUGCAAAAGAUGAGUAAAAUGUGUUAUAGGAAGCUUAUGAAUAGCUAGGGAAUAUCAGAAACACACAUAUUGUCUUUUCCCUUUAUUAAUAGAUUGUGGGGUAUAAUGCUGAUCUGCUACUAUUAGAUACAUUGAGGUCAGAUAUAAUCUGCAUCCAUACAGUCUUUCCAGAAAAUAUUAUUCCCAUCCUUUGGCAGGGGUGCUCAGUGCACUUGGGACAGAUGAGAAACAUUCUUUGGGAAUAAUAGAGUUCUUCUCCCUUAGAAAUGUUUCAUGUACUUCAGAGUUGCUGCCAUAUGGUUCCCAUAAAGGUUCUGCCAAAAUUCCCGUGGUUCUCACAAGAGCUCCUACCUCCUCUGUUCUUUUAAUCUCCUGCUGCGGGUGGCAGACAUGGGAGAGACAGGCAAGCUGCAAAGGGAAGUCGAUGAAAUAAAAUUAAAGCCCUACAAUCGUGUUCGUGUCAAUGUAGAUGGGGUGCCCCCCUCGGUUUGCUCACAGAGGUGGGUGUGAGAUCCUACAGGACGGUCUGGAAGACAUCCCAUGGAAGGCACUUUAUUUUGCCCAGAAGCUGGAGGAAAAGCAGAAGGAUGCUGAACACUGACUAAGAGGAGAGAGCACACAUUACAUGGAGACCAUGGUCCCUAUACCAGAAACAUGAGAGUAGAGAGAAGCAAAGCCAGCAUCGUGGAGCCAGUCCCUUUAUCCAGGGUCUUGGAGGGAUACAGUCUUCUGUAGAAAUUAAAUAAAAACUGAAUUCUUCAAUGGGUAUUUUGAGAAGAGAGCCACUGUAAGCUUAUACACUGUGAAUUGCAAAAUGUUACUGCCUCUGGGUGGACAGGUUUUAAAAAGACUUUUUUUUUUUUCCUCCUGGCAUGACUGACAGAGGGAAGGCUGGGUUUCAAUCCCAUCUUUCCCUUCCCUUGCCCAGUGCUUCUUUAUGUGCGCAACCUGCACAACUAUAUGUGGUUUGCAAACACGCAUAAGCAAAGACUAACAGCUUCUGAAACAAACCCUGAAUAAAAGAGGGAGCAUAUUAAGGCAGAUGGCAGAGGAGGUGAGCAGCAUGGGCAGAUAGAAGCAUCACAGAGACUACAAGAAGAAUGUGCCAGACCAGCUCAUAGUGGCCACACUUAUUAAGAAUUAUCAUCAGCUCUUUAGGAUUUGGAAACUUGGAAACACAUUGUGUGUUCUUCCUGGUUUGUUAUAGAGUAUGUGUAUGUACUUCUUUCUCUUAAAAAUAUUUAUUUUUAAAGAAUUGACUUAUAAAAUUAUAUGUAUUUAUCAUGUAUAACACAAUAUUUUGAAGUACAGUCCUGUGUCAUAAGGAUAUGUUCUGAGAAAUCCAUCAAUUUUGUCAUUGUAUAAACAUGAUAGAGUGUAUUUACACAAACCUAGGUGGUAUAAACUACUACACACCUAGGCUACAUAAUGUAGCCUAUUGCUCCUAGGCUGUAAACCUGUAUAACAUGCUACUGUACUAAAUACUAUAGACAAUAGUCAUGUACUGGUGAGUAUUUGCGUAUCAAAACAUAUCUAAAUAUAGAAAAGAUGCAGUAAAAAUAUGGUAUUACAAUCUUAUGAGACCACUAUAGUAUAUGAGGUCCAUCAUUGAUUAAAACAUAGUUAUAUGGUGCAUGACUGUAUAUAUGCAUUGUGGAAUGGUUAAAUCUAGCUAACUAACAAAUGUGUUACAUCACAUAGUUAUUAUUUUUGGGGUGAGAACACAAUAUUCACUCUCUUAGCAUUUUUUAAGAAUACAGUAUAUUAACUAUAGUCACCAUGCUGAAUGGUAGAUCUCUGGAACUAAUUUCUCCUAUCUAAGUGUGAUUAUGUACCCUUUGACCAACAUCUUUCUAACCCCACCCCACAAACACCCCAUAAUAAAGCCUCUUGUAACCACCAUUUUA
Pan troglodytes (chimpanzee) is the source of this 2539-nucleotide long non-coding RNA. RefSeq lists it as uncharacterized. The transcript is spliced from 2 exons. The record is from RefSeq and is a predicted model, not a curated record. Lineage: Eukaryota; Metazoa; Chordata; Mammalia; Primates; Hominidae.